CAGUGGGGCAGGAUUCUGUGGAAUAGACGUAAAGUGGGAUUGCUUAAACUGCCGUAGGCCAUAGUGUGCCCUCCGCUGUGCUCGUCGCGUGAGGACUGCUGCGUCUAUUGGCAAUGUUCUCAAACAAUGUCACGUUGCCAAGAGAUUGCGUCGCUAGGGUUUGGCAUUACGCGAAUUGCCUGCUGAAUCGAGGGAAUUAUAUUGAGCUCUUUGCUAUGGUGACGUUCAUUUCAGUGGAAAACUUCUAUGCACUG
RNAcentral lists this long non-coding RNA (254 nucleotides) under Physcomitrium patens. RNAcentral describes it as "long non-coding RNA (PPAT_LNC002460)". The record is from RNAcentral. Lineage: Eukaryota; Viridiplantae; Streptophyta; Bryopsida; Funariales; Funariaceae.